GAUGAACGCUGGCGGCGUGCCUAAUACAUGCAAGUCGAGCGAACAGACGAGGAGCUUGCUCCUUUGACGUUAGCGGCGGACGGGUGAGUGACACGUGGAUAACCUACCUAUAAGACUGGGAUAACUUCGGGAAACCGGAGCUAAUACCGGAUAAUAUGUUGAACCGCAUGGUUCAACAGUGAAAGACGGUCUUGCUGUCACUUAUAGAUGGAUCCGCGCCGCAUUAGCUAGUUGGUAAGGUAACGGCUUACCAAGGCAACGAUGCGUAGCCGACCUGAGAGGGUGAUCGGCCACACUGGAACUGAGACACGGUCCAGACUCCUACGGGAGGCAGCAGUAGGGAAUCUUCCGCAAUGGGCGAAAGCCUGACGGAGCAACGCCGCGUGAGUGAAGAAGGUCUUCGGAUCGUAAAACUCUGUUAUUAGGGAAGAACAAAUGUGUAAGUAACUGUGCACAUCUUGACGGUACCUAAUCAGAAAGCCACGGCUAACUACGUG
This 497-nucleotide ribosomal RNA is filed under the name uncultured bacterium. Its description in RNAcentral is "partial 16S ribosomal RNA". It matches the Rfam family "Bacterial small subunit ribosomal RNA", at positions 28 to 507 of the family's 1533-position model. The record is from RNAcentral.